GCCGCGGUGGCGAAAUUGGUAGACGCGCUGCGUUCAGGUCGCAGUUCUCGCAAGGGAUUGGGAGUUCGAGUCUCCCCCGCGGCA
RNAcentral lists this transfer RNA (84 nucleotides) under bacterium. RNAcentral's name for it is "tRNA-Leu". It matches the Rfam family "tRNA". From Rfam's summary of the family: Transfer RNA (tRNA) molecules are approximately 80 nucleotides in length. Their secondary structure includes four short double-helical elements and three loops (D, anti-codon, and T loops). The record is from RNAcentral.